This 446-nucleotide ribosomal RNA is filed under the name uncultured bacterium. Its description in RNAcentral is "bacterial SSU rRNA". It matches the Rfam family "Bacterial small subunit ribosomal RNA", at positions 330 to 793 of the family's 1533-position model. The record is from RNAcentral.
GCCAGACUCCUACGGGAGGCAGCAGUGGGGAAUAUUGCACAAUGGGGGAAACCCUGAUGCAGCGACGCCGCGUGAGUGAAGAAGUAUUUCGGUAUGUAAAGCUCUAUCAGCAGGGAAGAAAAUGACGGUACCUGACUAAGAAGCCCCGGCUAACUACGUGCCAGCAGCCGCGGUAAUACGUAGGGGGCAAGCGUUAUCCGGAUUUACUGGGUGUAAAGGGAGCGUAGACGGCAGCGCAAGUCUGAAGUGAAAUUCCAUGGCUUAACCAUGGAACUGCUUUGGAAACUGUGCAGCUGGAGUGCAGGAGAGGUAAGCGGAAUUCCUAGUGUAGCGGUGAAAUGCGUAGAUAUUAGGAGGAACACCAGUGGCGAAGGCGGCUUACUGGACUGUAACUGACGUUGAGGCUCGAAAGCGUGGGGAGCAAACAGGAUUAGAUACCCUAGUAC